GACGAACGCUGGCGGCGUGCUUAACACAUGCAAGUCGAACGAAGUGGCGAUCGGGUGAGUAACGCGUAAUCAACCUGCCCUUCAGAGGGGGAAAACAGUGGGAAAAGACUGCUAAUACCGCAUACGGAAGGAGGGGCUUGCGUCUGAUUAGCUGGUUGGAGGGGUAACGGCCCACCAAGGCGAGUAGAAGUAGCCGGUCUGAGAGGAUGAACGGCCACAUUGGGACUGAGACACGGCCCAGACUCCUACGGGAGGCAGCAGUGGGGAAUCUUCCGCAAUGGACGAAAGUCUGACGGAGCAACGCCGCGUGAGUGAUGACGGCCUUCGGGUUGUAAAGCUCUGUUAAUCGGGACGCGGUACCGGAAUAGAAAGCCACGGCUAACUACGUGCCAACCGCCGCGGUAAUAC
Molecule: ribosomal RNA, 408 nt
Filed under: uncultured bacterium
Lineage: Bacteria
Description: partial 16S ribosomal RNA
Rfam family: Bacterial small subunit ribosomal RNA
Source: RNAcentral